This 126-nucleotide ribosomal RNA is filed under the name Triticum aestivum (bread wheat). Its description in RNAcentral is "partial small subunit ribosomal RNA". The record is from RNAcentral. Lineage: Eukaryota; Viridiplantae; Streptophyta; Magnoliopsida; Poales; Poaceae.
GCUUCACAUUUGGAAUUACACAAAAAAGAUUUUUCAUCGGAAAGAGGUCUACGAAGACUUUUGGGAAAACGUCGACGUUUGCUGGCUUAUUUGGCAAAGAAAAAUAGAGUACGUCCUUCUCGGUAA